CACUGAAUAGCUCAGUUGGUUAGAGUGUGGUGCUGAUAAUAGCAAGGUUGCAGGUUCAAUCCUCAUAUGGGACAGUGA
Non-coding RNA from Podarcis lilfordi (Lilford's wall lizard), 78 nucleotides. The record is from the annotation of a GenBank genome assembly. NCBI's taxonomy places the organism in Eukaryota, Metazoa, Chordata, Lepidosauria, Squamata, Lacertidae.